RNAcentral lists this ribosomal RNA (481 nucleotides) under uncultured bacterium. Its description in RNAcentral is "partial 16S ribosomal RNA". It matches the Rfam family "Bacterial small subunit ribosomal RNA", at positions 28 to 507 of the family's 1533-position model. The record is from RNAcentral.
GAUGAACGCUGGCGGCGUGCUUAACACAUGCAAGUCGAACGAAGCAUUUGCGACAGAUUUUUUCGGAAUGAAGUUGCUUAUGACUGAGUGGCGGACGGGUGAGUAACGCGUGGGUAACCUGCCUUGUACUGGGGGAUAGCAGCUGGAAACGGCUGGUAAUACCGCAUAAGCGCACAAUGUUGCAUGACAUGGUGUGAAAAACUCCGGUGGUAUAAGAUGGACCCGCGUCUGAUUAGCUAGUUGGUGAGAUAACAGCCCACCAAGGCGACGACCAGUAGCCGACCUGAGAGGGUGACCGGCCACAUUGGGACUGAGACACGGCCCAGACUCCUACGGGAGGCAGCAGUGGGGAAUAUUGCACAAUGGAGGAAACUCUGAUGCAGCGACGCCGCGUGAGUGAAGAAGUAAUUCGUUAUGUAAAGCUCUAUCAGCAGGGAAGAUAGUGACGGUACCUGACUAAGAAGCUCCGGCUAAAUACGUG